RNAcentral lists this ribosomal RNA (744 nucleotides) under Isochrysis sp. RC-2015. RNAcentral's name for it is "bacterial SSU rRNA". It matches the Rfam family "Bacterial small subunit ribosomal RNA", at positions 526 to 1278 of the family's 1533-position model. The record is from RNAcentral. Lineage: Eukaryota; Haptophyta; Isochrysidales; Isochrysidaceae.
CGGGGGAUGCAAGCGUUAUCCGGAAUCAUUGGGCGUAAAGCGCCUGUAGGUUGUUUAGUAAGUCCAUUGUUAAAGACCAGGGCUUAACCCUGGGAAAGCAAUAGAAACUACUAGACUUGAGUAUGGCAGGGGUAGAGGGAAUUUCUAGUGUAGCGGUGAAAUGCGUAGAUAUUAGAAAGAACACCGGUGGCGAAAGCGCUCUACUGGACCAUUACUGACACUGAGAGGCGAAAGCUAGGGUAGCAAAAGGGAUUAGAUACCCCUGUAGUCCUAGCCGUAAACGAUGGAUACUAGGUGUUGUGCAGUUCGUACAGUAUCUUAGCUAACGCGUUAAGUAUCCCGCCUGGGGAGUACGCUCGCAAGGGUGAAACUCAAAGGAAUUGACGGGGGCCCGCACAAGCGGUGGAGCAUGUGGUUUAAUUCGAUGCAACGCGAAGAACCUUACCAGGGCUUGACAUACUACAGAUCUUUUAGAGAUAAAAGAGUGCCUUCGGGAAUGUAGAUACAGGUGGUGCAUGGCUGUCGUCAGCUCGUGUCGUGAGAUGUUGGGUUAAGUCCCGCAACGAGCGCAACCCUCGUUUUUAGUUGCCAAUUUAUUGGGUUUUCUAGAGAGACUGCCGGUGACAAACCGGAGGAAGGUGAGGAUGACGUCAAGUCAGCAUGCCCCUUAUGUCCUGGGCCACACACGUGCUACAAUGGCGGAGACAAAGAGUCGCAAACCUGCGAAGGCUAGCUAAUCUCAUA